GCCCUUAUAGCUCAACGGUAGAGCGAUAUACUGUUAAUAUCUUGAUAAGUGUUCGACUCACUUUAAGGGCU
Molecule: transfer RNA, 71 nt
Rfam family: tRNA
About the family: Transfer RNA (tRNA) molecules are approximately 80 nucleotides in length. Their secondary structure includes four short double-helical elements and three loops (D, anti-codon, and T loops).